CGGGGGCCCGCACAAGCGGUGGAGCAUGUGGUUUAAUUCGACGCAACGCGCAGAACCUUACCAGCCCUUGACAUGUCCAGGACCGGUCGCAGAGAUGUGACCCUCUCUUCGGAGCCUGGAGCACAGGUGCUGCAUGGCUGUCGUCAGCUCGUGUCGUGAGAUGUUGGGUUAAGUCCCGCAACGAGCGCAACCCUCGCCCUUAGUUGCCAUCAUUUAGUUGGGCACUCUAAGGGGACUGCCGGUGAUAAGCCGAGAGGAAGGUGGGGAUGACGUCAAGUCCUCAUGGCCCUUACGGGCUGGGCUACACACGUGCUACAAUGGCGGUGUCAGUGGGAUGCAAAGGGGUGACCC
This 351-nucleotide ribosomal RNA is filed under the name uncultured bacterium. RNAcentral's name for it is "bacterial SSU rRNA". It matches the Rfam family "Bacterial small subunit ribosomal RNA", at positions 914 to 1263 of the family's 1533-position model. The record is from RNAcentral.